CGUACGAUCACCGAAGUUAAGCAGCGUAGAGUCAGGUCAGUACUUAGAUGGGGGACCGCUUGGGAACACCUGGUACUGUAAG
RNAcentral lists this ribosomal RNA (82 nucleotides) under Acanthosepion pharaonis. The record is from RNAcentral. Lineage: Eukaryota; Metazoa; Mollusca; Cephalopoda; Sepiida; Sepiidae.